Long non-coding RNA from Gorilla gorilla gorilla (western lowland gorilla), 2408 nucleotides. RefSeq lists it as uncharacterized. The transcript is spliced from 4 exons. Lineage: Eukaryota; Metazoa; Chordata; Mammalia; Primates; Hominidae. The record is from RefSeq and is a predicted model, not a curated record.
GCUAACUGGUCCACGCAUGGCCAAUGCAUGAGGAAACUCAUCCUGGAACUCAUUUUCCUUAAAUUCUGGAUUUGUACAGUAAGGACUUCAACUGACCUUCUUCAGACUGAGGACUGUUCCCAGUGUAUGCAUCAAGUUACUGAGGCAAACAAAGACUGGACUUACUCAUUGAGUGCAAAACACACAACAAAGGCUGAAGGCACUUCAAACACUCGUGGUCCAAAGAUCGGGCAGAAAAAUUCAGAUGCAUCCUCACAAAAAUUAUGGCAGCAGCAAGUAAGAAGAUAAUGAUCCUCAGAAUCAGCACCCAAGACCAGUGGUCAGUCCAGCAGGAAAGAGAUAAAGGUGGCAUGGGACAAGUGCCACCCUGGCCUCUGGGGACCGUCACCCAGACACCAAGCAGGAAGACGAAGCUCAGGUCACGUUCGUCAUGACUGAACUCCAGGUCACCUGUGGUGCAGAGAAAGUGGCUGGCUCAGAUGUCCAGGCCUGUGAGUAGGAACAAUGAGGGGACUUUCUCUGAAGCUUGCAUUGCACUUAUCCGCAGCGGGGAAGGGGUUGCGGAAUGACGUCUCUCCUUGUGAACUCCAGCAGAGCAGUUUUCUUGUGUGUUCGUUUUCUAUUUUUCUUGUUACUGUUUUGUUUUCUAAUUUUACAAAUUUAAAAUGGUAUAUGACCAAGUUUACUCUUUUCUCCUUGGAGACUGAAUAAUUUUUCAAAUCUUGACUGACCGUCUUCUCUUUCUCAUGGACGAAUCGUCCCUUCCUGUGUUUAGAAGUGCAGUGCUGUGUUGAGCAUACGGACAUGACUGUGAGUCCCUGGACGUCUUCCGUUUCUCGUGGAGGAAUUGUCCCUUCCUGUGUUUAAAAGUGCAGUUCUGUGUUGAGCAGACAGACAUGACUGUGAGUCCCUGGCCGUCUUCUGUUUCUCGUGGAGGAAUUCUCUCUCCCUGUCUUUAGUACUGCAGUGCUGUAUUGAGCAGACAGACAUGGCUGUGAUUCUCUGGGCUUGUGCCCUGGCCCAGUCAUUGCCUAGGCAACUCCCUCCCCACGGGCACCUGGCCUCUCUCCACUUUACUUUCUGAACCUGUAAAAUGGGUAGGAGGAUGGAGGAUGGUAGGUCCUACCUCAUAGAGCUCGCGAGAGGACUGGUACAGAUGAAAGCACUCGGAACACUGGCUGGAAUAUGAUAGGUCCUCAUCCAAUGUUAAUUACCAUUAUAAUUUACAAGCAUCUUUUAAAAGUAUUUGUCAUAAUAACUUUUUAUGUGGAUGGAAAGAGUGAUAUAAAUUUUCACUGUCAUGAUGUGAACAGAACCUGGAGCACGCUUGGGUGGAGCCUGGAACUUUGGGUUAUUGAAGAGCCUGCUAGCACUAGUUCCAACAGCUGAGAUAGAGAAUCAGUCCAGGUGUCCAAUAAUACAUGAAUGGAUGAAGUGUCCAUGGAGAUACAUGAAUUGAAAAUGUAUAUACACAUACACUUUAAAAUUUGUGUAUACACAAUGGAAUACUAUUCAGCCAUAGAAAGAAUGAAAUCCUGUCAUUCAUGGCAAAAUGGUUGGAACUGGAGGACACUGUGUUCAGUAAAAUGAGCCAGGAACACAAAGUUAAAUGCCUCAUGUUCUCACUUAUUCGUGGAAGCUUAAAAAUGCUGAUCUCAUAGAAGUGAAAGGUAGAACAGAAGAUCCUAGAGGCUGGGAAGGAUUGGAGAAAGGGAGAGAUAAGGAGAGAUUUGUUAAAGAAUACAAAAUUACAGCUAGACAGGAGGAAUAAUUUCUAGUGUUCUAUACCACUGUAGGAUGACUACAGUUAACAAUAAUAUAUAGUUUUAAAUAGCUAGAGGGAGGAUAUUGACAAGGAAAUAAUAAGUAUUUGAGAUGAUGGAGAUGCAAAACGCCCUGAUCUGAUCACUGUAAAACAUAUGUAUUAAAAUAUCCCUGUUUACCCCCAUGAAGGUGUACAAUUAUUAUGUGUCCAUGAAACAUAAAUAAAUUUUUAAGACUCCAACAAAUGCUGAAGUAGGAAAUCUGUCUGUUUCAUGAGGUAAUUGACAUCAGGCCUCAGGAGAAGCAGGAACGCUCAGCAUGGUAGGCAGGGACCCUCACUGUUACAGUGUCCUCAUCACUCACGCUGCCCUGUUAGUGCCUGUGCGGUAGCUUCUCUUAACUGGUCAUCCCAGGAGCAGGCCAGACCCAGCAGAAAGCACUUCCUGUUCUUGCUCAUGGGUUUGCCUACCGCACAUGGCUGGGGAGAGCUGAGUGCAGCUCUUAAGUGAGUCCAUCUUCUUGGGUCACAAGGACAUUUCAGCUCCAGCUCAGAACACCCCCCAAGUGGGUGCUAAGAAUGCGGACUGUAAGAUCAGAAAGUGCAGGAAUCAUUAUGAGACGGUGAUAAGAAAUGUAAUUUUGAU